Molecule: long non-coding RNA, 317 nt
Filed under: Elaeis guineensis (African oil palm)
Lineage: Eukaryota; Viridiplantae; Streptophyta; Magnoliopsida; Arecales; Arecaceae
Description: long non-coding RNA (EGUI_LNC054619)
Source: RNAcentral
CGGUGUAGAGACACUGGGGUGAAGAUGUGGAUGGUUGUUAGAGAACAACUUGCACUGAGCAUGACCAACACAAGAACCACAUAGAUGUCUACUCACUCGUCAGUGAUCUUCUCCAUGCUGUAGUGGUGUGUGUUCUUUUGACCUGUGGUGUCAUUACUAUUCGUAGUGAGGCUACUGGGUUUGACUGCACGUUUCUUUGGUCUCUAGCCAUUCGGAUCCUUGUUGUGUAUGUUGGCUUUAGUAGGUUUAAAUUCACUGUUUUGGUGUAAGAUGUACCUAGAUAGGAUCUAUCGAUCUUGAUAGAAAAGGAGAAAUCC